GAUGAAGAACGCAGCGAAAUGCGAUACUUGGUGUGAAUUGCAGAAUCCCGUGAACCAUCGAGUCUUUGAACGCAAGUUGCGCCCGAAGCCAUUAGGCCGAGGGCACGCCUGCCUGGGUGUCACACGUCGUUGCCCCCCCAUCUACUCCUCCGGGAUUGCGGGGGGCGGAUGAUGGCCUCCCGUGCGCCUCGUCGCGCGGUUGGCAUAAAUGCCAAGUCCUCGGCGACGCACGCCACGACAAUCGGUGGUUGCGAAACCUCGGUUGCCCGUCGUGUGCGGUCGUCGCGCAUCGAGGGCUCGAAAAAAUUGCCGGGCUCCGGCUCGGCUUUCAACGCGACCCCAGGUCAGGCGGGGUUACCCGCUGAAUUUAAGCAUAUCAAUAAGCGGAGGA
Molecule: unclassified non-coding RNA, 391 nt
Filed under: soil metagenome
Description: partial contains 5.8S ribosomal RNA, internal transcribed spacer 2, and large subunit ribosomal RNA
Rfam family: 5.8S ribosomal RNA (bases 1-122)
Source: RNAcentral